Corapipo altera (White-ruffed manakin) is the source of this 2583-nucleotide long non-coding RNA. RefSeq lists it as uncharacterized. The transcript has 4 exons. The record is from RefSeq and is a predicted model, not a curated record. Lineage: Eukaryota; Metazoa; Chordata; Aves; Passeriformes; Pipridae.
CCUUUCAGGAAGCAACAAAUAUAUUCAGAACAUACCAAACCUGGACAGUAACUGCAGUGUUGGAGUACUUAAUCCAUAAAUCCUCCCCCAAUGCUCAUAGAAAUACAAAACCACUGUGAAUACUAGAAGUUGGAUCUAGCUGACUUCUGGAUUACUUCAAAUCCCAUUGACUUAAGAGGAACUGCCCAAUAAAAAAUUCCAUCAAAACUGCUCAUCUGAUUUCAGCAUUAGUCUUCAAAAUACCUGCUUUGGAGCUAUCUUCCUUAUAAAGGGAGAAUGACACCAGCAAGUAAUUUUGUGGACCAGCAGACAUCUCCACCUACAGGACAGAGACAGCAAAAUGCAACACAGACAUGAUUUUAUUUAGUCUUCUAAUUUGUGCUUCUUCUGGAACUAAAACCUAUACAUUUUAUCUUCAUUAGGUCAAGAAACUGCCUUUCUGUCAUGUAUCUAGAACCAUGACCACCUCCAAAUCUAGAAGAAUUGAGUAACAAUUUGACAGCAACAAGUAUUUUACAAUAAUCCUGCAUUAGUGUGAAGCAUGAAACUUGCACAGACUGGGAACCUUGACAGAGGGAAAGAUGCUGCCAGAAUUAAGUUUUUCUCUACCACUUUUAUUUUAUUAUUUUAUUCGGUCCCCCUGUGAAUGGAUCUCUAAAUCACUAAACAAAUCUCCCACAAUGCUUUUUUCUUAUUCAAGACACUGCCUUGUUGUAUUCAGAGGAUGAUGCAGGAUUGUUUAAUAAAAGUGAAUUCUUCUCUUAUAAUUUGGAAGGUUAUCUGGAAGCUAAGGAGGAAAACAAAUUUAAGGGAGGUCUAAUGAUUUAAGUAACCACUAGUACCAUAUGAAACUGGAUUUUAGCUUCAUUUCUGCUGCAAAGCAUCUGUGAGUGAAGUGGUGCAUGGUUUAUUUGAAAUAAAUAAUGCUUAUUCUGUGCGGGUAGUAGUCUUUUUACCUCAGAAACCAGAUUAAUUGUCUGUCUCACUGAAAGAGAUUAUGUAGUUCAUCCUCAAAUAUUUUGUUCUUUCACUUCCCUGCACAUAUUGAGUGUAUUUUAUGAUGAAAAAAACCUGAAAAGUGUCAAAAGAGACAUCCUCAUUUCAACUUCUUUUAUUCUUUUCAACUGGAAGGUAUUUGGAACAUUUUUAAAGGUUUGCAAGUAAGUGAAAAAAUAAAAAAUUACAGAAAGCAUUUCAAGUAUAAAGAUUUAGGAGGAAGGCUAAGAUUACUGAAAAAAAAAAAAAAAGAAACCAAAAAAAACCCCCAACUUUUUAUCUAGAAGUUAAAAUAACCCAAGAAUGUCAUAAAUCUAGUAGAAGCUUUUGGUAACAGAGAAUUUUCAAUUCUGAAGGUAAAAAAAUAUUAUUAGAAGUCAAAUAGAAAAUUAACACAGACUUGUUUUUUUGUAAACUGUUGUCGUUUAAAUUCUCCUGCAGUUUCUAGCUGCCAAGGAAACUGAAGUUUCUCUGAAACCUCCAUAAAUGUCCCUUGAUGAUGUGAGUUUGUAUUCCCCUUAUCUAUUGAAGUGUUAUUCCAAAUUAGUAUUACCCCAAGGAUCUGAAACUGCAUCACUAACAUUACGAUUUUCAUGCCCAAAGGCUGCCAAAUGAAUGGCUUAUACAACAUGUUUAAGUGACAGCUUCAAAGAAAAGAAAUUCAAUAUCCUUAUGAUACAGCUAAGAACUCUUAAAUCAGCGAUGAAGCAGUAUCUUGCUUCUCUUAUGCAGAAAUAAAGAACAUUAUAUUUACAUUCUUUCACAUAUUGAGUGAUGGGCAAAAAGGAGUAGAAAGGAAGGUAGAGGCUGUGAAAAUAGAAAUAGAGAGUCUCAUGAGACCUGAUUAGGGGCUUCUGUGCUAAAAUAUGAGGUUUUGUGAUUGUUUCUUGAGAUCAGAGAACAGUCCGUCAUGCUCACCGGAAAUAGAAUGCAUGCCAAGUGACUUGUCACUCAAGUAGAAGACAGACAAAUGGGUGCAGUAAGGAAACAAAAGGAAGACAUGGAAUAUCAAACAACCUGCUAAUGUGGUAGGUAGGAAAUGUUUGUGAUUCAGCAGCUUCCUAAGCAUAACAUCCUUUCACUGUGAAAGGUGAAUGACUUUCACAUGGCAGGUGUUCGUCCUCCAGGCAUGAUUUAUGAUGUGGGCCUGAACAGUUUCCAGAGAAUCUUCACUGCUGGUAGAAACAAAAUGAUCAAGCUCUGAGUGAGAGAAUGUGGGAACAAAAAUGAUUUAUAAAUUGAAAGAAUCCUGAAAACUUGCUGCAACAGUGCACCUGAAAGAAAUGUUUUCAGAAAGAGUUUGAUAUUUGCUUAGAUUUAAGUCAAAAUUCUGCAGCACAUGUGUGAAACUAGGAGAAUUCUAUUUCUCUGUAAGUAUACAUUAGACUUCAGCCUGACAACCAAAUUAUGCUUCAUACUCAAAGAGAAUAGUUUGGUCCCACAACCAAACUACUUUGCAGUUUGUACAUAAUGUUUGUGUAGUAAUAACAGUAAUUCCUUGCUUGAAAAAGUAGUAGUAGGAAAGUAUUACAACAGGAUAAAACCUUGCAAGCUUGUUGAAGAAAUUACUGGGUAAAUUCCAUUGCA